RNAcentral lists this ribosomal RNA (490 nucleotides) under uncultured bacterium. RNAcentral describes it as "partial 16S ribosomal RNA". It matches the Rfam family "Bacterial small subunit ribosomal RNA", at positions 30 to 507 of the family's 1533-position model. The record is from RNAcentral.
AUUGAACGCUGGCGGCAGGCCUAACACAUGCAAGUCGAACGGUAACAGGAAGAAGCUUGCUUCUUUGCUGACGAGUGGCGGACGGGUGAGUAAUGUCUGGGAAACUGCCUGAUGGAGGGGGAUAACUACCGGAAACGGUAGCUAAUACCGCAUAACGUCGCAAGACCAAAGAGGGGGACCUUCGGGCCUCUUGCCAUCGGAUGUGCCCAGAUGGGAUUAGCUAGUAGGUGGGGUAACGGCUCACCUAGGCGACGAUCCCUAGCUGGUCUGAGAGGAUGACCAGCCACACUGGAACUGAGACACGGUCCAGACUCCUACGGGAGGCAGCAGUGGGGAAUAUUGCACAAUGGGCGCAAGCCUGAUGCAGCCAUGCCGCGUGUAUGAAGAAGGCCUUCGGGUUGUAAAGUACUUUCAGCGGGGAGGAAGGGAGUAAAGUUAAUACCUUUACUCAUUGACGUUACCCGCAGAAGAAGCACCGGCUAACUCCGUG